This is a long non-coding RNA of Sciurus carolinensis (gray squirrel), 282 nucleotides long. RefSeq lists it as uncharacterized. The transcript has 3 exons. The record is from RefSeq and is a predicted model, not a curated record. NCBI's taxonomy places the organism in Eukaryota, Metazoa, Chordata, Mammalia, Rodentia, Sciuridae.
AGCAGAACAUGAUGAAGCAGUUUUCCCCCACUUAAAGGUCCAGUCAUGCUUUGGUUUGCAGGGGGCAGAGGGGCUGGUUUGCAGGUGAUGCUGGGAGGAUGAGGACUUGAUUUUAUUUUUCCUCCUUGACUUCUCCCACUACAAGCUGGAGCUCCGAGAGGCAGGAACCAAGACUUGGACGUUAUAUUCUGACUUGGCAGGACGCUUUUUCUCUUAUCACCACCUCCUGGUGCUUCCAAGGUACCAGACACUUUAUUUUUUUCCACCUGUUUGGAUAUCCAC